GAUGAACGCUGGCGGCGUGCUUAACACUUGCAAGUCGAACGAUGAAGCCCAGCUUGCUGGGUGGAUUAGUGGCGAACGGGUGAGUAACACGUGAGUAACCUGCCCUUAACUCUGGGAUAAGCCUGGGAAACUGGGUCUAAUACCGGAUAGGAGCGUCCACCGCAUGGUGGGUGUUGGAAAGAUUUAUCGGUUUUGGAUGGACUCGCGGCCUAUCAGCUUGUUGGUGAGGUAAUGGCUCACCAAGGCGACGACGGGUAGCCGGCCUGAGAGGGUGACCGGCCACACUGGGACUGAGACACGGCCCAGACUCCUACGGGAGGCAGCAGUGGGGAAUAUUGCACAAUGGGCGCAAGCCUGAUGCAGCGACGCCGCGUGAGGGAUGACGGCCUUCGGGUUGUAAACCUCUUUCAGUAGGGAAGAAGCGAAAGUGACGGUACCUGCAGAAGAAGCACCGGCUAACUACGUG
Molecule: ribosomal RNA, 466 nt
Filed under: uncultured bacterium
Lineage: Bacteria
Description: partial 16S ribosomal RNA
Rfam family: Bacterial small subunit ribosomal RNA
Source: RNAcentral